Molecule: ribosomal RNA, 712 nt
Filed under: uncultured bacterium
Lineage: Bacteria
Description: bacterial SSU rRNA
Rfam family: Bacterial small subunit ribosomal RNA
Source: RNAcentral
GGAAACCGGAGCUAAUACCGAAUGUGAACAUUUUUGGGCAUCCAGAGAUGUUUAAAGCUGGGGACCGUAAGGCCUGGCACUUCGCGAUGAGCCCGCGGCCUAUCAGCUAGUUGGUGAGGUAACGGCUCACCAAGGCUAAGACGGGUAGCUGGUCUGAGAGGACGACCAGCCACACUGGAACUGAGACACGGUCCAGACACCUACGGGUGGCAGCAGUCGAGAAUUUUUCACAAUGGGCGCAAGCCUGAUGGAGCGACGCCGCGUGGGGGAUGAAGGGCUUCGGCUCGUAAACCCCUGUCAGUUGCGAACAAUGUGCACUCAAUAACACUGGGUGCGCUGAUAGUAGUGACAGAGGAAGGGACGGCUAACUCUGUGCCAGCAGCCGCGGUAAUACAGAGGUCCCGAGCGUUGUUCGGAUUCACUGGGCGUAAAGGGUGCGUAGGCGGUUCUGAAAGUCUGAUGUGAAAUCUCCAGGCCCAACCUGGAAAUGGCAUUAGAAACUGCAGGGCUAGAGGCUUGGAGGGGGAACUGGAAUUCUCGGUGUAGCAGUGAAAUGCGUAGAGAUCGAGAGGAACACCAGUGGCGAAGGCGAGUUCCUGGACAAGUCCUGACGCUGAGGCACGAAAGCCAGGGGAGCAAACAGGAUUAGAUACCCUGGUAGUCCUGGCUGUAAACGGUGCACGUUUGCUGUGAGAGGAAUCGACCCCUUUCG